This is a long non-coding RNA of Polypterus senegalus (gray bichir), 152 nucleotides long. RefSeq lists it as uncharacterized. NCBI's taxonomy places the organism in Eukaryota, Metazoa, Chordata, Cladistia, Polypteriformes, Polypteridae. The record is from RefSeq and is a predicted model, not a curated record. The transcript has 3 exons.
UGGCUGUUCAAAAAAAUCGGAGGGUGAACUGUUUGAUUCUUUAAAUCUGACUAGUUCGCAAUUGGAGGAUUUAAUAGCUGAAACAGAUUGUCUUUUUGAGAAUAAAAAUCCUGCCUCAGCCAAAGAGUCCCCAGAAACAGAAUACUCGACGC